CUGGGGAUAAUUUGCACCUUCACUUAAGAUGAACCUGCUGCUGAUUUUCCUGUUCAUGCUGGAGGCCCCUUCAGGUGUCCUCUCCCAAGUGCAGCUGAAGGAAAUGGGCCCGGGAGCAGUGAAACCCGGGGAGUCCCUGACACUCACUUGUACCAUCUCCGGAGACUCGGUUUCUAGCACCAGCGCCACCUGGGACUGGAUCCGGCAGCCCGCGGGGAAAGGGCUGGAAUGGGUAGGGCGCAUUUACUACAGACCGAGCCAGUGGCACACUAACUACGCCAGCUCUCUGCAGAGUCGAACGACCAUCGCACAAGACACUUCCAAGAACCAGUUCUCCCUGCAGCUCCGCUCGCUGACAGCUGCAGACACCGCCACCUAUUACUGUGCCAGAGGGUACACAGUGAUACAGAGCAAAGCAGGGCCUGGUACAAAAAGGGGAAGCAGAUUCUGAUUAGCGCAGGGAGACAAUCAGAAUGGAAAGAGAUGUUAUUCCCAUCAUAGAAAUGCAUCGUCUUUUGGUAGAUUGUCCUGACCAAAUCAGACUGAACAGUGAAAAAGUCUGACAUGCGCUGUAGAUGGAUGUAAGGUGAACCUGGACAUCAUGCCUUGGAUCCAAAAGGCUUCUGGGAAGAAGUGGGAGUGGACACUUUACUAUCAUACUUCCUGUACCAACAGCUACUGGCCUACAACCCUGAGGGGUGGGGGUUGGGGGCAGACUCAUAACCUCCAAAGACAGCUCCACCUCUAUUUACACAAGCAGCCUAAAGGACAUGCACACAGAAAAGCUCUCUCUCUCUCACACACACA
This is a non-coding RNA of Chrysemys picta bellii (western painted turtle), 807 nucleotides long. The record is from the annotation of a RefSeq genome assembly. NCBI's taxonomy places the organism in Eukaryota, Metazoa, Chordata, Testudines, Emydidae.